Molecule: long non-coding RNA, 832 nt
Organism: Pogoniulus pusillus (Red-fronted tinkerbird)
Lineage: Eukaryota; Metazoa; Chordata; Aves; Piciformes; Lybiidae
Exons: 2
Source: RefSeq, a predicted model, not a curated record
CCAGAGGUCUCUUCUAACAUCCACUGUGCUGGGAUUGCAGCCUCAAGAAAGAGCCUGGGCUGGAGGGAGUGAGCAGAAUGCACUACAGAACCUGUGGCUGUUCCUGUCCAUGUCCAAGAGGCCUUCAGAAAGCAAGCUCUUGAGCACAGUGUGCUGGAGUGGGAUGUGCAAGAGGAGGGUCUGGGGUUCGUUGAUGGGUAUGUAGAAAGAUGAAGCCAAAGAGCUGCAGCAGGUACCAACAUGUCCAUUGCUCACAGCCUGGCAGCUUCCCUGCAGAUGUGAUUGGCCUUUUACAUGGGAUAAAGAAAGGAUUGUUGGACCUUCUUCAGAAAGGAAGAAGGAAAGCUGCUGUGGUAGAUUCAGCUCCAAGGCUGGUGUGUUCACUGGGAUCCAUAACUGGAGAGAAUCAUCUUCAUUUUUUACCAUGAGGAAAGAUUUCUGUUGUGUGAAGGUGCUGGAGCCCUGAAGCAGGCUAUCCAGAGAUGUUCUGGAGUCUCCUUCUCUGGAGAGAUUCCAAACCCACCUGGACACUGUGAUCCUGAGCAGCCUGGUCUGGGUGCCCCUGCUUUAGCAGGGGAGUUGAACUAGAUGAUCUCCAGAGGUCCUCUCCAAGCCCCACCAUGCUGAGCUUCUGUCAGGCUGCUGUCACAAUGGUGAUAAAUAUGGAAUCAUCUUGGAGUGCUUAUCACUGUUAUUGCUAAUCUCCUGAAGUGCUGUCUCCUAAGAUCUCUCUGAUCUGAUUCUGCCAAGUAUUUUCCUGACUCUGAUUAUUUUCUGUAGGAACUUGCAUGUUUUGAUGAAAAUGAUUUCAUUAAGCUGUAUCACAACUGUG